GGGCAGCAGCAAGGAAUUUUGGGCAAUGGGCGAAAGCCUGACCCAGCGACACCGCGUGGGGGAUGAAGGCCCUCGGGUUGUAAACCCCUUUUCUCAGGGAAGAAUAAUGACGGUACCUGAGGAAUAAGUCUCGGCUAACUACGUGCCAGCAGCCGCGGUAAUACGUAGGAGGCGAGCGUUAUCCGGAUUUACUGGGCGUAAAGAGGGCGUAGGUGGCUUUUCAAGUCGGAUGUAAAAUCUCCCGGCUUAACUGGGAGGGACCAUUCGAUACUGUUGGGCUAGAGUGCAGCAGAGGGAGACGGAAUUCCCGGUGUAGUGGUGAAAUGCGUAGAUAUCGGGAGGAACACCAGUGGCGAAGGCGGUCUCCUGGGCUGUUACUGACACUGAGGCCCGAAGGCGUGGGGAGCGAACAGGAUUAGAUACCCGAGUANUC
RNAcentral lists this ribosomal RNA (433 nucleotides) under uncultured Dehalococcoidia bacterium. Its description in RNAcentral is "bacterial SSU rRNA". It matches the Rfam family "Bacterial small subunit ribosomal RNA", at positions 346 to 795 of the family's 1533-position model. Lineage: Bacteria; Bacillati; Chloroflexota; Dehalococcoidia. The record is from RNAcentral.